CAGAGGUCUCAAGCGUUGUUCGGAUUCAUUGGGCGUAAAGGGUGCGUAGGUGGCGGGGCAAGUCUGGUGUGAAAUCCCGGGGCUCAACCCUGGAACUGCACUGGAUACUGCUUUGCUAGAGUACUGGAGAGGGAACUGGAAUUUACGGUGUAGCAGUGAAAUGCGUAGAUAUCGUAAGGAAGACCAGUGGCGAAGGCGAGUUCCUGGACAGUUACUGACACUGAGGCACGAAGGCCAGGGGAGCAAACGGGAUUAGAUACCCCGGUAGUCCUAGCAGUAAACGGUGCGCGUUUGGUGUAGGAGGAUUCGACCCCUUCUGUGCCGGAGCUAACGCGUUAAACGCGCCGCCUGGGGAGUACGGUCGCAAGAUUA
Molecule: ribosomal RNA, 372 nt
Filed under: uncultured organism
Description: bacterial SSU rRNA
Rfam family: Bacterial small subunit ribosomal RNA
Source: RNAcentral